GAGUUUGACCUGGCUCAGGAUGAACGCUGGCGGCGUGCCUAAUACAUGCAAGUCGAGCGAACAGAUAAGGAGCUUGCUCCUUUGACGUUAGCGGCGGACGGGUGAGUAACACGUGGGUAACCUACCUAUAAGACUGGAAUAACUCCGGGAAACCGGGGCUAAUGCCGGAUAAUAUUUAGAACCGCAUGGUUCUAAAGUGAAAGAUGGUUUUGCUAUCACUUAUAGAUGGACCCGCGCCGUAUUAGCUAGUUGGUGGGGUAAUGGCUUACCAAGGCAACGAUACGUAGCCGACCUGAGAGGGUGAUCGGCCACACUGGAACUGAGACACGGUCCAGACUCCUACGGGAGGCAGCAGUAGGGAAUCUUCCGCAAUGGGCGAAAGCCUGACGGAGCAACGCCGCGUGAGUGAUGAAGGUCUUCGGAUCGUAAAACUCUGUUAUUAGGGAAGAACAAAUGUGUAAGUAACUGUGCACGUCUUGACGGUACCUAAUCAGAAAGCCACGGCUAACUACGUGCCAGCAGCCGCGGU
RNAcentral lists this ribosomal RNA (529 nucleotides) under uncultured bacterium. RNAcentral describes it as "bacterial SSU rRNA". It matches the Rfam family "Bacterial small subunit ribosomal RNA", at positions 9 to 521 of the family's 1533-position model. The record is from RNAcentral.